This 497-nucleotide ribosomal RNA is filed under the name uncultured bacterium. Its description in RNAcentral is "partial 16S ribosomal RNA". It matches the Rfam family "Bacterial small subunit ribosomal RNA", at positions 28 to 507 of the family's 1533-position model. The record is from RNAcentral.
GAUGAACGCUGGCGGCGUGCCUAAUACAUGCAAGUCGAGCGAACGGACGAGAAGCUUGCUUCUCUGAUGUUAGCGGCGGACGGGUGAGUAACACGUGGAUAACCUACCUAUAAGACUGGGAUAACUUCGGGAAACCGGAGCUAAUACCGGAUAAUAUUUUGAACCGCAUGGUUCAAAAGUGAAAGACGGUCUUGCGGUCACUUUUAGAUGGUUCCGCGCUGCAUUAGCUAGUUGGUAAGGUAACGGCUUACCAAGGCAACGAUGCAUAGCCGACCUGAGAGGGUGAUCGGCCACACUGGAACUGAGACACGGUCCAGACUCCUACGGGAGGCAGCAGUAGGGAAUCUUCCGCAAUGGGCGAAAGCCUGACGGAGCAACGCCGCGUGAGUGAUGAAGGUCUUCGGGUCGUAAAACUCUGUUAUUAGGAAAGAACAUAUGUGUAAGUAACUGUGGACGUCUUGACGGUACCUAAUGAGAAAGCCACGGCUAACUACGUG